CCUGGACUUCUCUUUGUUGUCUAUCACGUCGCUCCUCCGCCUCAUCCACCAUCAUCAUCACCGUUGCCUUCGCCAUCAUCUGCUUGCAAUCUCCACGCCACCGCUCACCUGAGGCGCUCACUCCUCCACGUCGCUCCCCUUCGACGCUCACACUUCCAGUCUCUCCCCUCAGGUUAAGAAAAUAUAUGUUGCCCAUGAAGAUGUACAAAGUUUAUGCUAUCUCAUGCUGGAUUGGUGAUAAUAUUAACCGGAAGUGUAUAUGAUUUUUCCAAACUCAAAAGAUCUUGAAUGCUUCUAAAAGACUGCAAAGCAACUUUCACAAGAACUGAAUGAGAAACAUAAACAAUUGGAGAUGUUUAAAGAUAUGUCGAGAUUAUUUUAUUGAAGGGGCUGGCUUGGAAGCAAAAAAUAAAGUUUCCAUCUUACAAAUGAUGGUGCUAUAAUUCUCAACAUAUUAGAUGUUGAUCAUCCUGCUUCCAAGGUUCUUGUUAAAUUGGUUGAGCUUGAAGAUAGAGAAACAAGAGAUGUACUAUUAUAUAGUUACUCACGGUAUUGUUCCGUAUAUCAUACCUCUUUAUAUUGGCAAAUGUAUUUUAAUCCUGAUAUAAAAUGCUUAUUAAUCUAUUUUUUGAUAAUUUUUAGAGAGUAAAUUAUCUUGUCAAAAACAAGACUCACCCACAUCUGUCAUGAGUGGAUACAAAGUGAGUGUUAUGUUAUCAAGUCUUG
Non-coding RNA from Lactuca sativa (garden lettuce), 726 nucleotides. The record is from RefSeq and is a predicted model, not a curated record. NCBI's taxonomy places the organism in Eukaryota, Viridiplantae, Streptophyta, Magnoliopsida, Asterales, Asteraceae.